AUUGAACGCUGGCGGCAAGCCUAACACAUGCAAGUCGAACGAGUGGCGCACGGGUGAGUAAUGUCUGGGAACCUGCCUGAUGGAGGGGGAUAACUACUGGAAACGGUAGCUAAUACCGCAUACCAUCGGAUGUGCCUAGAUGGGAUUAGCGUGUAGGUGGGGUAAAGGUUCACCUAGGCGACGAUCCCUAUCUGGUCCGAGAGGAUGACCAGCCAAACGGGAACGGGGAAACGGUCCAGACUCCUACGGGAGGCAGCAGUGGGGAAUAUUGCACAAUGGGCGAAAGCCUGAUGAAGCCAGGCCGCGUGGAUGAAGAAGGCCUUCGGGUUGUAAAGUACUUUCAGCGGGGAGGCGUUACCCGCAGAAGAAGCACCGGCUAACUCCGUGCCAGCAGCCGCGGUAAUUC
This 406-nucleotide ribosomal RNA is filed under the name uncultured bacterium. RNAcentral describes it as "partial 16S ribosomal RNA". It matches the Rfam family "Bacterial small subunit ribosomal RNA", at positions 30 to 526 of the family's 1533-position model. The record is from RNAcentral.